GCUCUUUGGAAACCAAGAAACACUCUGCAAAUGAAAAGGGUGGAAGAGUAAACUGUUCCUGUUUCUCCAUCUUGACAGGAAGCAGAAGUUCUCCUUAGCUGAUUUUUCUUCUUGCCUUAUACUGGGUUCUUUAACACCAGAACAAAAAUAAAUAAAUAAAAGAAUCUUCCAGAAAUUCAUGAAGAGACUUCAGGUCAGGAAAGCCUGAACUUUCUCAUCCAACACCUGUUCAAGUCGGAGGAUGCUGAUUAAUUCAUGAUGGAAAGGUAUCAAUUUCACAGCCCAGACCUCUACAUUCUUGAAAUGCUCUUCUCAUGGGAGACAUUAAAUAAGCUUUGAAUUAACUGAAGAACCAAUGAUGUGAUCCCUGGAUACUGGCAAUUGUUGCCCAAGAAACCCUCUCCCCUUGCUAUGGGAGUGCUGGGCACCCAAAUAAUGCACCCAAAUAAUUUGAUAGCUCUUGUUACACAACUCUUCUUGGACUAAAAGGCCCUCAGCAUUCCUGUCAAUUUCUACACUCCUGAAGCUUCAUCUGGAGACCUCUGUGGAUUCUAUAACUCAAAGACCCAGGCUGACGGCUGGUGGAAUAGCUACCAUCUCAAACAUGGCGUGAUGCUGCAUCAGAGAGAAAAAUAAGCUCUUGCAUUGACAAUGAAAUGUCUACCCUGUAGUGACUUGUGCUUACUUCCACUCACAAGUGAUUGCCCAGAGCUACUUACCUGGCUCCAAUCUACCACUGGUGCCAUGACACCCAGGAUGCAGCUGUAGGAACACCACUGGGUCCCUGGAUGUCAUGUAAGCCCUUAAGUAAAAGUGCCAUCAAAUGAUUUCUCAGAAAUUAUAAAGAAACAAAA
Molecule: non-coding RNA, 854 nt
Filed under: Pan troglodytes (chimpanzee)
Lineage: Eukaryota; Metazoa; Chordata; Mammalia; Primates; Hominidae
Source: RNAcentral